UACGUAGGGGGCAAGCGUUGUCCGGACUUACUGGGCGUAAAGCGUGUGCAGGCGGGUGGCUAUGUGCCGUGUGAAAGCUCCCGGCUUAUCCGGGAGAGGGCGCGGUAGACAGGCUGCCUGGAGGCUCGGAGAGGUCAGUGGAAUUCUCGGUGUAGUGGUGAAAUGCGUAGAUAUCGAGAGGAACACCGGUGGCGAAGGCGGCCAACUGGACGAGUACUGACGCUGAGACACGAAAGCGUGGGGAGCAAACAGG
Molecule: ribosomal RNA, 253 nt
Filed under: uncultured bacterium
Lineage: Bacteria
Description: partial 16S ribosomal RNA
Rfam family: Bacterial small subunit ribosomal RNA
Source: RNAcentral